GACGUAGGGCGCGAGCGUUGUCCGGAUUUAUUGGGCGUAAAGAGCUCGUAGGCGGUCUGUUAUGUCGGAUGUGAAAGCCCUUGGCUCAACUGAGGAAGUGCAUCCGAAACUGGCAGGCUAGAGUACGUAAGAGGGUCGCGGAAUUCCCGGUGUAGAGGUGAAAUUCGUAGAUAUCGGGAGGAACACCGGUGGCGAAGGCGGCGACCUGGGACGAUACUG
Molecule: ribosomal RNA, 219 nt
Filed under: uncultured bacterium
Lineage: Bacteria
Description: partial 16S ribosomal RNA
Rfam family: Bacterial small subunit ribosomal RNA
Source: RNAcentral